GUCUAGAGGCUUCCGCAAUGGACGAAAGUCUGACGGAGCGACGCCGCGUGUGGGAUGAAAGCCGUGAGGUCGUAAACCACUGUCAACGGGGAAGAAUGCCUGAAUGGUGAAUUCAGGAGGGACGGUACCCGUGGAGGAAGCCCCGGCUAACUACGUGCCAGCAGCCGCGGUAAUACGUAGGGGGCGAGCGUUGUUCGGAUUUACUGGGCGUAAAGCGUGCGUAGGCGGUCUGGCAAGUCUGGCGUGAAAUCCGCACCACUUAACGGGCGGGUGUCGUUGGAUACUGCUAGGCUAGAGGACGAGAGAGGAAAGCGGAAUUCCAGGUGUAGCGGUGGAAUGCGCAGAUAUCUGGAAGAACACCAGUGGCGAAGGCGGCUUUCUGGCUCGUUUCUGACGCUGAUGCACGAAAGCCAGGGGAGCGAACGGGAUUAGAAACCCUUGUAGUCC
This 447-nucleotide ribosomal RNA is filed under the name uncultured bacterium. RNAcentral's name for it is "bacterial SSU rRNA". It matches the Rfam family "Bacterial small subunit ribosomal RNA", at positions 354 to 796 of the family's 1533-position model. The record is from RNAcentral.